GACGAACGCUGGCGGCGUGCCUAAUACAUGCAAGUAGAACGCUGAAGGAGGAGCUUGCUCUUCUGGAUGAGUUGCGAACGGGUGAGUAACGCGUAGGUAACCUGCCUGGUAGCGGGGGAUAACUAUUGGAAACGAUAGCUAAUACCGCAUAACAGUAGAUGUUGCAUGACAUUUGCUUAAAAGGUGCAAUUGCACCACUACCAGAUGGACCUGCGUUGUAUUAGCUAGUUGGUGGGGUAACGGCUCACCAAGGCGACGAUACAUAGCCGACCUGAGAGGGUGAUCAGCCAACCUGGGACGGUGACACGGCCCAGACUCCUACGGGAGGCAGCAGUAGGGAAUCUUCAGCAAUGGACGGAAGUCUGACCGAGAAACGCCGCGUGAGUGAAGAGGGUUUUCGGAUCGUAAAGCUCUGUUGUAAGAGAAGAACGAGUGUGAGAGUGGAAAGUUCACACUGUGACGGUAUCUUACCAGAAAGGGACGGCUAACUACGUG
Molecule: ribosomal RNA, 495 nt
Filed under: uncultured bacterium
Lineage: Bacteria
Description: partial 16S ribosomal RNA
Rfam family: Bacterial small subunit ribosomal RNA
Source: RNAcentral